GAUGAACGCUGGCGGCGUGCCUAAUACAUGCAAGUCGAGCGAACAGACGAGGAGCUUGCUCCCCUGACGUUAGCGGCGGACGGGUGAGUAACACGUGGACAACCUACGUAUUAGACUGGGAUAACCUCGGGAAACCGGAGCUAAUACCGGAGAAUAUAUUGAACCGCAUGGUUCAAUAGUGAAAGAAGACUUUGCUGUCACUUAUAGAUGGAUCCGCGCCGCAUUAGCUAGUUGGUAAGGUAACGGCUUACCAAGGCGACGAUGCGUAGCCGACCUGGGAGGGUGAUCGACCACACUGGAACUGAAACACGGUCCAGACUCCUACGGGAGGCAGCAGUAGGGAAUCUUCCGCAAUGGGCGAAAGCCUGACGGAGCAACGCCGCGUGAGUGAUGAAGGUCUUCGGAUCGUAAAACUCUGUUAUUAGGGAAGAACAAAUGUGUAAGUAACUAAGCACGUCUUGACGGUACCUAAUCAGAAAGCCACGGCUAACUACGUG
RNAcentral lists this ribosomal RNA (497 nucleotides) under uncultured bacterium. RNAcentral describes it as "partial 16S ribosomal RNA". It matches the Rfam family "Bacterial small subunit ribosomal RNA", at positions 28 to 507 of the family's 1533-position model. The record is from RNAcentral.